CCUACGGGAGGCAGCAGUGAGGAAUAUUGGUCAAUGGACGAGAGUCUGAACCAGCCAAGUAGCGUGAAGGAUGACUGCCCUAUGGGUUGUAAACUUCUUUUAUAUGGGAAUAAAAUGUUCCACGUGUGGGAUUUUGUAUGUACCAUAUGAAUAAGGAUCGGCUAACUCCGUGCCAGCAGCCGCGGUAAUACGGAGGAUCCGAGCGUUAUCCGGAUUUAUUGGGGUUAAAGGGAGCGUAGGUGGAUUGGUAAGUCAGUUGUGAAAGUUUGCGGCUCAACCGUAAAAUUGCAGUUGAAACUGGCAGUCUUGAGUACAGGAGAGGUGGGCGGAAUUCGUGGUGUAGCGGUGAAAUGCUUAGAUAUCACGAAGAACUCCGAUUGCGAAGGCAGUUCACUGGACUGCAACUGACACUGAGGCUCGAAAGUGUGGGUAUCAAACAGGAUUAGAUACCCCAGUAGUC
Molecule: ribosomal RNA, 460 nt
Filed under: uncultured bacterium
Lineage: Bacteria
Description: partial 16S ribosomal RNA
Rfam family: Bacterial small subunit ribosomal RNA
Source: RNAcentral